This 4509-nucleotide unclassified non-coding RNA is filed under the name Hevea brasiliensis (rubber tree). The record is from RNAcentral. Lineage: Eukaryota; Viridiplantae; Streptophyta; Magnoliopsida; Malpighiales; Euphorbiaceae.
GAUUCCGAGCUUCGAGAAUCCGCCUAUGAGAUUCUAAUUGGGGCUUGCCGGAGUUCCGGAAGCAGGCCCUUGACUUAUAUCCCCCAGUCAGAGAGGAACGCUGAUAGGGCUUCGGCUCCUGCUCUGACGCCGUCGCCUUCUCUGCAGCGGUCGUUGACGUCAACGGCCGCCAGUAAAGUCAAGAAGGCGCUGGGGAUGAAGUCGGGUUCGACGAAGAGGAGAAGCGAUGGUGGUGAGUCAGUGAUUGAAGGGAAGGCCAAGAAAACGAUGACUGUUGGAGAGUUGGUUAGAGUUCAGAUGAGGGUAUCUGAGCAGACCGAUUCGAGGAUUAGGCGAGCGUUGUUGAGGAUUGCUGCUGGUCAGGUUUGUGUGUGGGUUUAAAUAUAUGAUGUUUGGCUUAGAGAUAUUGUCCUACUGAAUUGAAUUCCUCCCGUUUCCCAGGUUUAGCAAGCUGGCUGAGGUAUACGAAAUUGUGUGAUUGCUUGAAUCUUUUCUUUCGUUGUGCCCAAAUCCUUAAUUAUGGAGUCUCACUAUCUAAUUUUGUCAAUUUUUUUAAGCAAUAUUUGCUUGCUGAGGAAACAGUGAAAAAGGAAAAGAAAAGAGUUUUUUUUUUGUCCCAUGAAAACUGGGAAUUGACCUAAAGCUUGGAAUGCAACUGCUGGCAAGGGUUAAUGUCCUGGGAUCAUAUCCCCUUCCCAGCAUUUCCCUCCCUUAUGAAUCGGGAGCAUUGUGGUUGUAGUAAAUUUGAAAUUUGGUAGGGAAAGAUAGCAAAUAACAUCUUAGUUCAAUUGAAAUCAAAUGCGAUUUUGUUAAUUUCCAUAAGGAUUAUGCUAUUAUUGAUUUUUAUGAAUUGUGGCAAAAAUUUUAAGCUUUCGGUCAAUAACAUUUUUGCUUAGUAUGAUUCUCUAAUUGAAUAUGGACAAUUAUUGAGCUUCUGUUUAUGCACUUGUGUCAGCUUGGAAGGCGCAUAGAGUCAAUGGUUCUGCCACUGGAGCUAUUGCAGCAGCUCAAGUCUUUGGAUUUUCCCAGUCGACAAGAAUAUGAAGCUUGGCAGAGGAGAAAUUUGAAGCUUCUAGAAGCUGGACUGCUUUUGCAUCCUCACUUGCCACUGGAUAAGACUGACAGAGCUCCUCGACAGCUCCAGCAGAUUAUUCGUGGGACAUUAGAAAAACCCAUUGAAACUGGAAAAAACAGUGAAUCUAUGCAAGAUCUCCGAAGUUUAGUUAUGUCUCUUGCUUGCAGAUCAUUUGACGGAUCAGUUACUGAAAAAUGCCACUGGGCAGAUGGGUUUCCCUUAAAUUUGAGACUCUACCAAAUACUCUUAGAAGCUUGUUUUGAUGUUAAUGAUGAAUCAAUUGUUAUUGAAGAAAUUGAUGAGGUUUUAGAACUCAUAAAGAAGACUUGGGUAGUCCUUGGAAUGAACCAGAUGUUGCAUAAUCUCUGUUUUUUGUGGGUUUUAUUUCACCACUAUGUUGCAACUGGCCAAGUUGAGGAUGACCUAUUGUUUGCUGCCAAUAAUCUGUUGAUGGUAGUUGAAAAAGAUGCAAAGACAAGUAAGGACUCGGAUUAUUCCAAGAUUUUGAGUUCCAUAUUAAGUUCUAUAUUGGAUUGGGCAGAGAAAAGGCUUCUCUCUUACCAUGAUAGUUUUCAUAGUGAUAAUAUAGAAUCCAUGCAAAUCGUUGCUUCUGUGGCUGUUGUGGCAGCAAAUAUACUGGUAGAAGAUAUCUCCCAUGAGUAUCGUAGGAAAAGGAAAGAAGUUGAUAUAGCCCGUGAUAGGAUUGAAACUUACAUUAGAUCAUCACUGCGAGCAGCUUUUUGUCAGAAAUUGGAAAAGUUUAACUCAAGCAAGCAUUUGAGACACCAGCAGAAUCCCCUUCCUGUCCUGUCCAUCCUUGCACAAGACAUUUGUGAACUGGCUUUUAACGAGAAGGCAAUAUUUAGUCCAAUACUUAAGAGAUGGCAUCCUCUCGCAGCAGGUGUAGCAGUAGCCACCCUUCAUUCUUGCUAUGGGAAUGAACUCAAGCAAUUUGUUUCGGGUAUUAGUGAAUUGACACCUGAUGCAAUACAAGUGCUGAGUGCUGCUGACAAAUUGGAGAAAGAUCUUGUGCAGAUUGCAGUUGGAGAUUCUGUGGACAGUGAGGAUGGUGGAAAGUCAAUAAUUCAAGCGAUGCCUCCUUAUGAGGCUGAAGCUUUAAUCGCCAAUCUUGUUAAGUCAUGGAUAAGGACAAGAAUUGACAGGCUGAAGGAAUGGGUAGAUAGGAAUUUGCAACAAGAGGUAUGGAAUCCACGGGCAAACAAAGAGCGAUUUGCUCCUUCUGCCGUUGAAGUUUUACGAAUUGUAGAUGAAACUUUGGAGGCAUUCUUCCUGUUGCCAAUACCUAUGCAUCCGACCUUGCUUCCUGACUUGAUCACUGGGCUUGACAGAUGUCUUCAAAAUUAUGUAUUGAAGACUAAAUCUGGCUGUGGGGCCCGAAGUACUUUCACACCUACUAUGCCUGCAUUGACUAGAUGUACAGCAGGAUCAAAAUUUCAUGUAUUUAAAAAGAAGGAGAAGUCUCGUGUAGCCCAGCGAAGGAAAUCUCAGGUUGGAUCUACUAAUGGGGAUGCCUCCAGUGGGGUACCCCAGCUAUGUGUACGUAUUAAUACUUUGCAGCAUGUUCGCAUGCAAUUGGAAGUUUUGGAAAAGAAGACAGUUGUUCAACUGAGGAAUUCUAAAUCAAGUUAUGUGGAUGAUUUUGCUAAUGGAUUGGGGAAAAAGUUUGAGCUUUCAGCAGCUGCAUGUGUUGAAGGGAUCCAACAACUCUGUGAGGCAACAGCAUAUAAGGUUGUCUUCCAUGACCUAAGUCAUGUUCUUUGGGAUGGACUAUAUGUUGGAGAAGUUUCAUCUUCGAGGAUUGAGCCUUUUCUUCAGGAACUUGAGCAGUAUUUGGAAAUUAUUUCAUCUACAGUGCAUGACAGGGUUAGAACACGCGUUAUCACUGAUGUGAUGAAAGCAUCCUUUGAAGGGUUUCUGCUGGUUUUGCUUGCUGGAGGUCCUUCUCGGGCUUUCACUCUGCAGGAUUCUGAAAUGAUUGAGGAUGAUUUUAAAUUUCUCACAGAUCUGUUCUGGUCUAAUGGUGAUGGAUUGCCAACUGAGUUAAUAGAUAAGUUUUCAACAACAGUUAAAGGUGUCCUCCCCCUAUUUCGUACUGACACUGAGAGUCUAGUUGAGCUAUUCAGAAGUCUUACUCUGGAGAGUUACGGCUCUUCUGGUAAAUCCAGGUUUCCAUUGCCUCCGACUUCAGGCCAGUGGAAUCCUACUGAACCAAAUACACUAUUGCGAGUUUUGUGUUAUCGGAGUGAUGAAACUGCUGCAAAGUUCCUGAAGAAGACUUACAACUUGCCUAAGAAACUAUAACCACCAUUGAUAUAUGGAGGGCGGCAAAAUAUUGCGAUUCUCAGGUGAAGAAGUGCUGUGAAACGAUUGUUGUGGCUUUGGUAGUAUGUAUUUUAUCUUGGCAUCGUAGGCUCCAAUGACACGGUUUUGUUUGGGGGAGCAUUUAUUGGAGUGACUGUACCCAUAGAUUGGAUAAUUUACUAAUUAUUUGGUGCUAAGCAAGGAGUCCUCCAUUGAGAUGGCACAAUGAGAGAUUUGAUCUACAUGGUAAGACUGGCUUGGCUUUUUUUCUUUUUUUCUUUUUUUUAAUAAAAAAAAUCUUAUACUCAUCCUCGUACAUCUUUCGCUGUGGAAACUGACUGCUGGGAACAAAGAUAAAUAUUUAAUAAUUAAUUGUGAUAAAUUUGAGAGCUGUGUGAUAAAUUUGAGAGAUGUUGUUUUCGAGUUUCUAGAUUGACAGAUUGAGCAGAAAUUGUAUCUUCUAGUUUUGUUUCAAAGGAUCAAAUUAAGUCUUCUAUUUAUAGCCUAAUCGUUCAUGGGAAUAUAAUCUGACGUUGUGAUGCUUCUUGAUAUCAUCGUGCAUUAUUAAAUUUCAUAUUGGAGGCUCAUAUCAUCUGAUUUGUUGUAAAGUAAGGUGUUCAUUGGUCAUUCGACUUGCCUUGUGAAAAAACUAGCUAGCACUUCAUUGAUGGAAGCAGCUUUAGCUUUGGAUUCAAUGCAUGAAAGUAGCUAAGAGUCUCUCUCUCUCUCUCUGGGCUUUGCCAGUUGGUAGCUGCUGGCCAUCAAUGAUGUUCAUCAUAAGCGAAACCUGUAAUAAAGAUUGGUUGUUAUAGACUGGUUUUGUAAUUUGUAAACUCUAAUCCAUUAAAGGGACAAAACUUUGUCCUCUUGAUGCAGGAUUUUGACUUAAAAAUCGGAUCACUUGUUAAAGGAUUAUGAUCGCUUUACGGAUUAAGUGCCACAGAUGCAGUUGUAAGUUCUAGCCCAUCCAUCCUCACUUUAACAUAUCAGACAAAAUGGAUAUCCACUACCCAUUUUGAUGAAAUUUAUCCCUUUUUAUUUCUUUUGCCAUUAUAAUCCAUUCAAUUGCGCCAUUUAUCAUUGGCUUAAUUGUUUCUUGAGAUGAAAUCUUC